RNAcentral lists this microRNA (22 nucleotides) under Tribolium castaneum (red flour beetle). RNAcentral describes it as "tca-miR-3836j-3p". The record is from miRBase by way of RNAcentral. Lineage: Eukaryota; Metazoa; Arthropoda; Insecta; Coleoptera; Tenebrionidae.
UCACUGGGCAAAGUAGACCCUG